RNAcentral lists this ribosomal RNA (497 nucleotides) under uncultured bacterium. RNAcentral's name for it is "partial 16S ribosomal RNA". It matches the Rfam family "Bacterial small subunit ribosomal RNA", at positions 28 to 507 of the family's 1533-position model. The record is from RNAcentral.
GAUGAACGCUGGCGGCGUGCCUAAUACAUGCAAGUCGAGCGAACAGAUAAGGAGCUUGCUCCUUUGACGUUAGCGGCGGACGGGUGAGUAACACGUGGGUAACCUACCUAUAAGACUGGGAUAACUUCGGGAAACCGGAGCUAAUACCGGAUAAUAUAUUGAACCGCAUGGUUCGAUAGUGAAAGACGGUUUUGCUAUCACUUAUAGAUGGACCCGCGCCGUAUUAGCUAGUUGGUAAGGUAACGGCUUACCAAGGCAACGAUGCGUAGCCGACCUGAGAGGGUGAUCGGCCACACUGGAACUGAGACACGGUCCAGACUCCUACGGGAGGCAGCAGUAGGGAAUCUUCCGCAAUGGGCGAAAGCCUGACGGAGCAACGCCGCGUGAGUGAUGAAGGUCUUCGGAUCGUAAAACUCUGUUAUUAGGGAAGAACAAAUGUGUAAGUAACUGUGCACGUCUUGACGGUACCUAAUCAGAAAGCCACGGCUAACUACGUG